This is a long non-coding RNA of Neogale vison (American mink), 957 nucleotides long. RefSeq lists it as uncharacterized. NCBI's taxonomy places the organism in Eukaryota, Metazoa, Chordata, Mammalia, Carnivora, Mustelidae. The record is from RefSeq and is a predicted model, not a curated record. The transcript has 4 exons.
GCUUUCAUGGAAGCUUUGGGACCCAGAUAGAAGACAAUGAAAUGCUGGUGUAGUCUAAGACCAAGAAGAGCCAUUUUGAGCAGACAGCUUGAAACCAUGCAACUGACUCAUGGACUGGUCCAGCUACAGAAAAGAAAGAACUGUUCUUCCUGACAGCUCCUCUGCAGCCUCAUUUGGAUUUGGGUCUGUCACCAACAUCAUUACCAAGGGACCGAGUCAUUUCUACCUAUACAUCAGUAAUGAACAAAAUUGGUGGUGAUUCCAUCAAGAUGGUGAUGGUGACAGGUUGCCCCUGAUGACUCCUCACAGGAAUGACUAACAACUGCCCACGAACAAGGAAUUGGGAGAAUCCUACAACACUGGACUGUGGCAGAAGCACCCGCUGCACCAGGGAGGCCAAGACAGACCGCUUUGGAAGCCUGUAAAUGGAUAAUGUGUAUAGCUGGUGAAUCGAAACAGCACCGUGACCAUGGUAUUUGGAGAAAGAGUUAAGCAUCGGAAGAAUCAAAAAUAUAAAUAAUUGAAAAUGAUUGUCUCUGAAGACUGCUCAGUGGAAAGAAGGGGAGACCUUAAAUCCUCAACCAGAACAGUUGAUGAGAUGGCAGAAUCCUAAACAGAAGUCAGGACAGUGGUGCUAAAGAUGGCAUUAUUUGUUGAAUCCUUCACUUGCUAUAGGUCAGGUAUGGUUUAGAUGUUGGAAGGUUCUAUGUGGCUCCUCUGGUCUUCAAUGGAGCCCCUCGGGGGUUCCCAUUGAUGGAGAAACUGAGACCCAAAGUAGUGAAGUGGCUUUUCUAGACUGUGUGGCAAGUAAGUUCCUGAUUUAUUGAAACCUUAUUGAAGCCUUACAUCAGGGUCAGGCUUAGAGUCUGUAUCCAGUAGCUUUUCAUAUUCUACACAUGCCAUCUUAACAGUAUGAAUAUAAGUAGUGUAUCCUUAUGAAGCAGUAGUCUUGAAAAA